Molecule: ribosomal RNA, 387 nt
Filed under: uncultured bacterium
Lineage: Bacteria
Description: bacterial SSU rRNA
Rfam family: Bacterial small subunit ribosomal RNA
Source: RNAcentral
GACGAACGCUGGCGGCGUGCUUAACACAUGCAAGUCGAGCGGUAAGGCCCUUUCGGGGGUACGACGAGCGGCGAACGGGUGAGUAACACGUGGGUGACCUGCCCUCAGCUCUGGGAUAAGCCUGGGAAACCGGGUCUAAUACUGGAUAUGACUCCAUGACGCAUGUUGUGGGGUGGAAAGCCUUGUGCGGCUGAGGAUGGGCCCGCGGCCUAUCAGCUUGUUGGUGGGGUGAUGGCCUACCAAGGCGACGACGGGUAGCCGGCCUGAGAGGGCGACCGGCCACACUGGGACUGAGACACGGCCCAGACUCCUACGGGAGGGCAGCAGUGGGGAAUCUUGCGCAAUGGGCGAAAGCCUGACGCAGCGACGCCGCGUGAGGGAUGACGG